GAUGAUGCGCCUGGCGCGGGACACGGUGCACAGGAGCUGCGCCUUGAUGGCGUGGCAGAUGGCGAUGUACCGCUCCACCGUGAAGGCAGCGAUGGACCAGGCAGAGAUGUUGAUGCCCAGGUACUGCAGGAAUUUGCUUUGUGGGAUCAGGAAACAAAACCAAGACAAACUCCUGCAGACAGUGGAAAAAGCUUUGUUUUGGUUCGGACCUGGAACACUGUGCAGGAUAAUUGCAGCAUUUCCUUCUCUGCUGGCAUUGCCUGGCACUGCCAUCCUCUGUGAAUAUCUGCCACCACCUGCUCUGAAACAUGAGGAAAGAGAAGUCCUCACUUUCCUGAGGUCCCCAGAUGGAAAAGGUUGUGUCCCUGGAUGCUGAGUCACAGCCAAGAAGUAAAAUUGCUUUGGGGCUUUCUGGAUUAUUGCCCUCAGAGAUCAAGCCAAAAAGGCAGCUGUCAAGGAAUUAAACAGAUGCAAAAUCGGUCUG
Long non-coding RNA from Oenanthe melanoleuca, 484 nucleotides. RefSeq lists it as uncharacterized. The record is from RefSeq and is a predicted model, not a curated record. The transcript is spliced from 4 exons. NCBI's taxonomy places the organism in Eukaryota, Metazoa, Chordata, Aves, Passeriformes, Muscicapidae.